GUGGGGAAUAUUGGACAAUGGGCGAAAGCCUGAUCCAGCCAUGUCGCGUGUGUGAAGAAGGUCUUCGGAUUGUAAAGCACUUUAAGUUGGGAGGAAGGGCAGUAAGUUAAUACCUUGCUGUUUUGACGUUACCGACAGAAUAAGCACCGGCUAACUUCGUGCCAGCAGCCGCGGUAAUACGAAGGGUGCAAGCGUUAAUCGGAAUUACUGGGCGUAAAGCGCGCGUAGGUGGUUUUGUAAGUUGGAGGUGAAAUCCCCGGGCUCAACCUGGGAACUGCCUCCAAAACUGCAUGACUAGAGUACGGUAGAGGGUAGUGGAAUUUCCUGUGUAGCGGUGAAAUGCGUAGAUAUAGGAAGGAACACCAGUGGCGAAGGCGACUACCUGGACUGAUACUGACACUGAGGUGCGAAAGCGUGGGGAGCAAACAGGAUUAGAAACCCGGGUAGUCC
This 450-nucleotide ribosomal RNA is filed under the name uncultured bacterium. Its description in RNAcentral is "partial 16S ribosomal RNA". It matches the Rfam family "Bacterial small subunit ribosomal RNA", at positions 354 to 796 of the family's 1533-position model. The record is from RNAcentral.